GUAUUGAUUGCGUGUGAUCGCAAAAAGUAAGACAUUCUACACAUUGCAUUAAAAGGGUGUCUGUGUAAAAACAUGAAAACCCCCCUCAGAACUAGCCAAAAGGGGUCCCCACGCGGUGAUGCACAAAAGGGGUGAGAUGGAUUAUGUGCGAGAGCACCGAGGUGUGCACGACCCUUUCAAAAGUCAGCGACAACCCCAGCACCUCGAUUGUACGAUAAUGAUCCUUCCGCAGGUUCACCUACGGAAA
This 247-nucleotide unclassified non-coding RNA is filed under the name uncultured fungus. Its description in RNAcentral is "sequence contains ITS1". The record is from RNAcentral. Lineage: Eukaryota; Fungi.